Molecule: long non-coding RNA, 409 nt
Filed under: Mytilus galloprovincialis (Mediterranean mussel)
Lineage: Eukaryota; Metazoa; Mollusca; Bivalvia; Mytilida; Mytilidae
Source: RNAcentral
AAAGUUCCAAAUCAAAUGGCAUAAUCAAAAGCUCAAACACAUCAAACGAAUGGAUAACAACUGUCAUAUUCCUAACUUGGUACAGGCAUUUUAUAGCUAGCUAAACCUUUGACUUGUAUGAAAGUCGCAUAACCUUUUAUUAUAUUGACACGAAGUGAAAACAAAACAAAGAGACGUAAUACGUAAUAAUGUCAAAAAUAGGGCCACAACAUUCAUCAUAGUGUUAUAAUCAUAAUCAUUUUAACCUGACCAAACUUAUUAAAAAACAUCAGCAUCGUAAAAUCAGAAAUGGGAAGAAAAGGGUUUAUUCGAUUUAGGUUUUGGUCACACACGUAUAUUAAGAUUUGAUGGAAGUAAGACUAUAAUAGUAUUCGGAAAUAUUCGAAUUAUGACAAUAAACUUAUAAAUG